UAAGGAAUAUUGGACAAUGGUCGCAAGACUGAUCCAGCCAUGCCGCGUGCAGGAAGACGGCCCUAUGGGUUGUAAACUGCUUUUGUACCAGAGAAAACCUAUCUACGUGUAGAUAGCUGAUAGUAUGGUAAGAAUAAGCAUCGGCUAACUUCGUGCCAGCAGCCGCGGUAAGACGAAGGAUGCAAGCGUUAUCCGGAUUCAUUGGGUUUAAAGGGUGCGUAGGCGGGCUUGUAAGUCAGUGGUGAAAUCUCUCAGCUUAACUGAGAAACUGCCAUUGAUACUGCAGGCCUAGAGUAUAGAUGACGUUGGCGGAAUAUGACAUGUAGUGGUGAAAUACUUAGAUAUGUCAUAGAACACCCAUUCCGAAGGCAGCUAACGAAACUAUAACUGACGCUGAGUCACGAAAGUGCGGGG
RNAcentral lists this ribosomal RNA (414 nucleotides) under uncultured bacterium. RNAcentral describes it as "bacterial SSU rRNA". It matches the Rfam family "Bacterial small subunit ribosomal RNA", at positions 355 to 766 of the family's 1533-position model. The record is from RNAcentral.